GACGAACCGUGCGAACGUUAUUCGGAAUCACUGGGCUUAAAGCGCGUGUAGGCGGGUCCGUACGUCCGUCGCUGAAAUCCCCCGGCUCAACCGGGGAACGGGCGUGGAUACGGCGGACCUGGAGGGGCGUAGGGGGACCUGGAACUUCCGGUGGAGCGGUGAAAUGCGUUGAGAUCGGAAGGAACGCCCGUGGCGAAAGCGAGGUCCUGGACGCCUACUGACGCUGAGACGCGAAAGCCAGGGGAGCGAA
Molecule: ribosomal RNA, 250 nt
Filed under: uncultured bacterium
Lineage: Bacteria
Description: partial 16S ribosomal RNA
Rfam family: Bacterial small subunit ribosomal RNA
Source: RNAcentral